AUUGAACGCUGGCGGCAUGCCUUACACAUGCAAGUCGAACGGCAGCACGGGAGCAAUCCUGGUGGCGAGUGGCGAACGGGUGAGUAAAGUAUCGGAACGUGCCCAGUCGUGGGGGAUAACGUAGCGAAAGUUACGCUAAUACCGCAUACGAUCUACGGAUGAAAGCGGGGGAUCGCAAGACCUCGCGCGAUUGGAGCGGCUGAUAUCAGAUUAGGUAGUUGGUGGGGUAAAGGCUCACCAAGCCGACGAUCUGUAGCUGGUCUGAGAGGACGACCAGCCACACUGGGACUGGGACACGGCCCAGACUCCUACGGGAGGAAGCAGUGGGGAAUUUUGGACAAUGGGCGAAAGCCUGAUCCAGCCAUGCCGCGUGCAGGAUGAAGGCCUUCGGGUUGUAAACUGCUUUUGUACGGAACGAAAAGGUUUGGCCUAAUAAGCUGGACCCAUGACGGUACCGUAAGAAUAAGCACCGGCUAACUACGUGCCAGCAGCCGCCGUAA
This 500-nucleotide ribosomal RNA is filed under the name uncultured bacterium. RNAcentral describes it as "partial 16S ribosomal RNA". It matches the Rfam family "Bacterial small subunit ribosomal RNA", at positions 30 to 523 of the family's 1533-position model. The record is from RNAcentral.